This 1090-nucleotide long non-coding RNA is filed under the name Pogona vitticeps (central bearded dragon). Its description in RNAcentral is "lncRNA (ENSPVIG00000021332.1)". The record is from RNAcentral. Lineage: Eukaryota; Metazoa; Chordata; Lepidosauria; Squamata; Agamidae.
AAAGUAGUUAAUAAAUAGAUGGAUAGUCUAAAUCAGAAACAGUUGAGGCUGGUCUAUAUAGUCUUAUUAAUUGCCCUUGUCCUAUUCAGUGCUAACAAUAUUUUCCACCAACUCAGUGAAGUCGAUGGGGGACAUUAUUAUGAAUAGGAAGAGAUUCACUUGUUUCUUUGGCUUUCUCUUGGCAUUUGGUAUUUUAUGGGCUGGGUGUUUAUAUUUUUUUUGGCAUCUAUUGGUCAUAUAAUGUGGGGCAAGAAUGGUUCUGUUCCUGCUGUCCCCUUUGUGGAGAAACUGCAGCAUCAAAAAUGACAGCUUCCCAGGGUUCAGCUGGCCAGCAGUCACUGACCAUCCCUAAGAUGUCACAGCAGUGGCUGGUGGAAUUGUGAGGUAUGGUGUCCUUAAAAGGGAAUGUGGAGGCAAGAUCAGGAGGCAGCAGACAGAGGUGGUGGACCAGUAAGGAAGGGUGAGUGAAGCAGAAGAGGAAGAUGACAAGACACAGCAGGGACUAGGAGAGUGGCUGAGGAAGGCUUGUGGAGAGGAACAGGCCCAUGUGAGGAGGCAGGAAGAACCAAAUACAGAGGCACGGCAUUAUUGGCAUGGCUCUGCCUUCACCGAAGACAGAGCACCAGGCAGAACUGUCUCAGGGCCACCUUCAACAACAGUGGAGCAGCAGAGUCCCAACAAAAGUAUUCUGUGCAGGGGCCUACUGGAAUGCUAAAGAAGGAAGCUAGAACUACCUGGUGGAAUAACUUCAUCCAGAAAGUGAUCUCAAAACUCUGACUGGCACAUUUGGAGAAAACAUGUUCGGCUGGAGCCAUUUUAUGAUUUCUGCUGUGGCUUUGGAUUCUCAGGAACUAAUCAAUCACAGGCAAUUGCUGCUGGUUUAGGCAUCCUUACAGCAGGACCGGGUGAACAGCACACAGCAUAAGUGGCUAUCUCAAGUUAAUUGGAACUUGAAAGAGAGAGGCUGACCUGAAUGUUACCGUUUGUAAUCUGGAAGGCUAUGGAAAGAAAUCGCAAAGGAGGCUCUUCAUCUUAUCUUCCUGCAAUUUGAAUCUGAAAUAAAGGAGUUAGCGCCGAUAAAAUAGAUUCA